RNAcentral lists this unclassified non-coding RNA (348 nucleotides) under soil metagenome. Its description in RNAcentral is "partial contains 5.8S ribosomal RNA, internal transcribed spacer 2, and large subunit ribosomal RNA". The stretch from base 1 to 120 matches the Rfam family "5.8S ribosomal RNA", at positions 35 to 154 of the family's 154-position model. The record is from RNAcentral.
GAUGAAGAACGUAGCGAAAUGCGAUAAGUAAUGUGAAUUGCAGAAUUCAGUGAAUCAUCGAGUCUUUGAACGCACAUUGCGCCCCCUGGUAUUCCGGGGGGCAUGCCUGUCCGAGCGUCAUUGCUGCCCUCAAGCACGGCUUGUGUGUUGGGCCCCCGUCCCCGGUUUCCCCCGGGGACGGGCCCGAAAGGCAGCGGCGGCACCGCGUCCGGUCCUCGAGCGUAUGGGGCUUUGUCACCCGCUCUGUAGGCCCGGCCGGCGCCAGCCGACACCCAACUUUAUUUCUAAGGUUGACCUCGGAUCAGGUAGGGAUAACCGCUGAACUUAAGCAUAUCAAUAAGCGGAGGA